GUCAGAUGAGUGAUUGCGGCUGCAUUUAUGCAGGUGAGGAAAGUCCGGGCUUCAUAGGGCAGGAUGCCGGAUAACGUCCGGUGGAGGUAACUCCCAGGCCAGUGCAACAGAAAUAAACCGCCGAUUUUAUCGGUAAGGGUGGAAAGGCGAGGUAAGAGCUCACCGCUGGACCGGUAACGGGACAGGCUCUGUAAACCCCAUCCGAAGCAAGGUCAAACAUAGGACCAUACGGCUGCCCGUCGUGUCCUUAGGUAGACCGCUUGAACCUUGUGGCAACAUAAGGUCUAGAUAGAUAAUCACUCUCGACAUAACCCGGCUUACAGUCUGGCUUA
This 332-nucleotide RNase P RNA is filed under the name bovine gut metagenome. Its description in RNAcentral is "Bacterial RNase P class A". It matches the Rfam family "Bacterial RNase P class A". Rfam says of the family: Ribonuclease P (RNase P) is a ubiquitous endoribonuclease, found in archaea, bacteria and eukarya as well as chloroplasts and mitochondria. Its best characterised activity is the generation of mature 5'-ends of tRNAs by cleaving the 5'-leader elements of precursor-tRNAs. The record is from RNAcentral.